GAGUGACAAGUUAUCUGGCUGAGACAUCUGUCAACGCCACCUCACGCACCAGGGUCCAUUCAGCUGAUCUGGCUGGUUAAGUGGGGGUCCCCUCCCUCUCUCAUUGCUUCAUCUGUGUCCCUCCCAAAGCUUCUCCCUCUGUCAGAAAGGACGACCUUCCUGGACCUCUGGCCCAGGGUUUAUGUUGGAACCUCAGAAAUGAGCUCUCCAGUGACAAGAAUGUGGCUCAGAUUUCCAAGCAAAGGUUUGAGCACUGUUCUGAAUGGACAGAACGAAGUGUACUGG
Molecule: small RNA, 285 nt
Filed under: Meriones unguiculatus (Mongolian gerbil)
Lineage: Eukaryota; Metazoa; Chordata; Mammalia; Rodentia; Muridae
Description: 7SK RNA (ENSMUGG00000000503.1)
Rfam family: 7SK RNA (bases 1-189)
About the family: 7SK was discovered as an abundant small nuclear RNA in the mid-70s but a possible function has only recently been suggested. Two independent studies have found that 7SK RNA binds the CDK9/cyclin T complex (known as elongation factor P-TEFb).
Source: RNAcentral